GACGAACGCUGGCGGCGUGCUUAACACAUGCAAGUCGAACGGAAAGGCCUUUUCGGAGGUACUCGAGUGGCGAACGGGUGAGUAACACGUGGGUGAUCUGCCCUGCACUCUGGGAUAAGCCUGGGAAACUGGGUCUAAUACCGGAUAGGACCGCACUUUAGUGUGUGUGGUGGAAAGUUUUUUCGGUGUAGGAUGAGCCCGCGGCCUAUCAGCUUGUUGGUGGGGUAAUGGCCUACCAAGGCGGCGACGGGUAGCCGGACUGAGAGGUUGGUCGGCCACAUUGGGACUGAGAUACGGCCCAGACUCCUACGGGAGGCAGCAGUGGGGAAGAUUGCACAAUGGGCGCAAGCCUGAUGCAGCGACGCCGCGUGGGGGAUGACGGCCUUCGGGUUGUAAACUCCUUUCGCCAGGGACGAAGCGUUUUGUGACGGUACCUGGAGAAGAAGCACCGGCUAACUACGUG
This 463-nucleotide ribosomal RNA is filed under the name uncultured bacterium. RNAcentral's name for it is "partial 16S ribosomal RNA". It matches the Rfam family "Bacterial small subunit ribosomal RNA", at positions 28 to 507 of the family's 1533-position model. The record is from RNAcentral.